This 254-nucleotide ribosomal RNA is filed under the name uncultured bacterium. Its description in RNAcentral is "partial 16S ribosomal RNA". It matches the Rfam family "Bacterial small subunit ribosomal RNA", at positions 524 to 776 of the family's 1533-position model. The record is from RNAcentral.
UACGUAGGGUGCAAGCGUUAAUCGGAAUUACUGGGCGUAAAGCGUGCGCAGGCGGUUUUGUAAGUCUGUCGUGAAAUCCCCGGGCUCAACCUGGGAAUGGCAUUUGUGACUGGAAGGCUAGAGUGUGUCAGAGGGGGGUAGAAUUCCACGUGUAGCAGUGAAAUGCGUAGAGAUGUGGAGGAAUACCGAUGGCGAAGGCAGCCCCCCUGGGAUAACACUGACGCUCAUGCACGAAAGCGUGGGGAGCAAACAGG